GCCUAGGUAGCUCAGCUGGUAGAGCAUCAGACUUUUAAUCUGAGGGUCCAGGGUUCAUGCCCCUAUCCAGGCA
This is a non-coding RNA of Bos taurus (domestic cattle), 73 nucleotides long. Lineage: Eukaryota; Metazoa; Chordata; Mammalia; Artiodactyla; Bovidae. The record is from Rfam.